UACGUAGGGACCAAGCGUUGUCCGGAUUUACUGGGCGUAAAGGGCGCGUAGGCGGCAAUUCAAGUCAUCUGUGAAAUCUCCGAGCUUAACUCGGAACGGUCAGAUGAUACUGCUUUGCUAGAGUGCAGAAGGGGCAACCGGAAUUCUUGGUGUAGCGGUGAAAUGCGUAGAUAUCAAGAGGAACACCGGAGGUGAAGACGGGUUGCUGGGCUGACACUGACGCUGAGGCGCGAAAGCUAGGGUAGCAAACGGG
Molecule: ribosomal RNA, 253 nt
Filed under: uncultured bacterium
Lineage: Bacteria
Description: partial 16S ribosomal RNA
Rfam family: Bacterial small subunit ribosomal RNA
Source: RNAcentral